CCUUCGCAUGGAGGGGCCGGGAAAGCCUGGCGCGGCAAGGGAUGGGGUCGCGGCCCAUCAGGUAGACGGCGGGGUAGCGGCCCACCGUGCUUUCGACGGGUAGCCGGGUUGAGAGACCGACCGGCCACAUUGGGACUGAGAUACGGCCCAGACUCCUACGGGAGGCAGCAGUGGGGAAUUUUGCGCAAUGGGGGCAACCCUGACGCAGCAACGCCGCGUGCGGGAUGACGGCCUUCGGGUUGUAAACCGCUUUCAGCAGGGAAGACCGACGACGGUACCUGCAGAAGAAGCCCCGGCUAACUACGUGCCAGCAGCCGCGGUAAUACGUAGGGGGCGAGCGUUAUCCGGAUUCAUUGGGCGUAAAGCGCGCGUAGGCGGCGCGCCAAGCGGAACCUCUAACCUCGGGGCUCAACCUCGAGCCGGGUUCCGAACUGGCGCGCUCGAGUUCGGUAGAGGCAGGCGGAAUUCCCGGUGUAGCGGUGGAAUGCGCAGAUAUCGGGAAGAACACCGAUGGCGAAGGCAGCCUGCUGGGCCGACACUGACGCUGAGGUGCGAAAGCUAGGGGAGCGAACAGGAUUAGAUACCCUGGUAGUCCUAGCCGUAAACGAUGGACGCUAGGUGUGGGGAGGAUCGCCUCUCCGUGCCGAAGCCAACGCAU
RNAcentral lists this ribosomal RNA (658 nucleotides) under uncultured bacterium. RNAcentral describes it as "bacterial SSU rRNA". It matches the Rfam family "Bacterial small subunit ribosomal RNA", at positions 183 to 860 of the family's 1533-position model. The record is from RNAcentral.